This 583-nucleotide long non-coding RNA is filed under the name Homo sapiens (human). Its description in RNAcentral is "HSALNT0040243". Lineage: Eukaryota; Metazoa; Chordata; Mammalia; Primates; Hominidae. The record is from RNAcentral.
CAAGAGUCUGCUCCCAAAGCCUCCUUAAGGCUGGGCUUCUCUGAGUACUGCCGAAUCUCUAACCUUAUUGUGCUUCACCUCAGAAAGGUGGAAGAAGGAUCAUGUUCUAAUUGAGCUCACCCAGGCUGGAUUGAAAGGCUCCACAGAGGGAAGUGAGAGCUAUGAAGAAGAUCCCUACUUGGUAGUUAACCCUAACUACUUGCUCGAAGAUUGAGAUAGUGAAAGUAACUGACCAGAGCUGAGGAACUGUGGCACAGCACCUCGUGGCCUGGAGCCUGGCUGGAGCUCUGCUAGGGACAGAAGUGUUUCUGGAAGUGAUGCUUCCAGGAUUUGUUUUCAGAAACAAGAAUUGAGUUGAUGGUCCUAUGUGUCACAUUCAUCACAGGUUUCAUACCAACACAGGCUUCAGCACUUCCUUUGGUGUGUUUCCUGUCCCAGUGAAGUUGGAACCAAAUAAUGUGUAGUCUCUAUAACCAAUACCUUUGUUUUCAUGUGUAAGAAAAGGCCCAUUACUUUUAAGGUAUGUGCUGUCCUAUUGAGCAAAUAACUUUUUUUCAAUUGCCAGCUACUGCUUUUAUUCAUC